AGAGUUUGAUCCUGGCUCAGGAUGAACGCUGGCGGCGUGCCUAAUACAUGCAAGUCGAGCGAACAGAUGAGAAGCUUGCUUCUCUGAUGUUAGCGGCGGACGGGUGAGUAACACGUGGAUAACCUACCUAUAAGACUGGGAUAACUCCGGGAAACCGGGGCUAAUACCGGAUAAUAUUUUGAACCGCAUGGUUCAAUAGUGAAAGACGGUUUCGGCUGUCACUUAUAGAUGGACCCGCGCCGUAUUAGCUAGUUGGUAAGGUAACGGCUUACCAAGGCGACGAUACGUAGCCGACCUGAGAGGGUGAUCGGCCACACUGGAACUGAGACACGGUCCAGACUCCUACGGGAGGCAGCAGUAGGGAAUCUUCCGCAAUGGGCGAAAGCCUGACGGAGCAACGCCGCGUGAGUGAUGAAGGUCUUCGGAUCGUAAAACUCUGUUGUUAGGGAAGAACAAAUUUGUUAGUAACUGAACAAGUCUUGACGGUACCUAACCAGAAAGCCACGGCUAACUACGUGCCAACAGCCGCGGUAAUACAUAGGUGGCAAGCGUUUUCCAGAAUUAUUGGGCGUAAAG
This 576-nucleotide ribosomal RNA is filed under the name uncultured bacterium. RNAcentral's name for it is "bacterial SSU rRNA". It matches the Rfam family "Bacterial small subunit ribosomal RNA", at positions 8 to 565 of the family's 1533-position model. The record is from RNAcentral.